This 2049-nucleotide ribosomal RNA is filed under the name Triticum aestivum (bread wheat). Its description in RNAcentral is "partial small subunit ribosomal RNA". The record is from RNAcentral. Lineage: Eukaryota; Viridiplantae; Streptophyta; Magnoliopsida; Poales; Poaceae.
AGACUAAUCUACAUGCUGGAAAAAAACACAGGACUCCUACCCCCGUACCUCAUCCCCAGUCAAUGGGUCGUCAUCCCAAUCUUCCUCCUCCCUGGACCACGCUAGAAAAAAUCACAGGAAUCCUCCCUCGGCACCUCAUCUCCAGUCAAUGGGUCGGCCUCCCUGAUCUUCCUCCUCUCGGAACGCAGGAACAAUUCCAUCAAUGGUUGAUUUGUGACGUGCGAUUAAGCAUGGAGGUCUGGGCGCUCCUCCUAUUCCCAAGGAGGAGCCGUGUCGGUGCUCUUGCCGCCGGUAGCACCGCUUUCCUAUCCUUCUUCCGAAGGGAGAUAUACUGCCUACCUCCUGCUAUUCUAUCCAAUAUCUGCUAGGUAUCUCACUAAUUUUGAGAUUACCUAAUUGCCUUAGUCUACAGCCACAAAAAACUCAUUUUUCUGAUCACUGUAGAUUCCAUUACUAUCAUUCCAAACAUCUGAUCUGUGUUUUCUGAAUGUUAUAUUCAAUUAAUUGGCAUAGCAAGCCUACUUCAGGUCAUGACGUUCUACUAUUUUUUGUGACACGGUUAAUUUUUUCAUGCAUCCCUGUAGGAGUUGACUACAUGGUGUCAUGCUCUGAAGUUUGCUGCAUCCCUGUAGGAUUUUCCACUGCGACUCCACGAGUAAAUCUGAACCACAACUUUGCCUCUCUCGGUUUGCUUUCCCAUCAAGAUAGAAAUCUAACACCCCGCAAAAAAAAAUCUAACGUAUUCUUUCAUCUGACUCUGCCUAUGAAAUCUCUGUCCUGUAUGCUAUGUUUUUCUAAUUUACAUCCUAUAUGGACAACAUCCUGAGAGUCAAAGAUAGAUCACGGAAAGCAGCCACAUCAUCAUUGGCUGUGUAGUGUACGUCCGAUUCAGAACCGUGUCGAAUUGCAUAUCGGUAGUCAGCACAUAGGGAAGCCCAUAAAAGUUGACUUUUUUUAUUCGGGUACUUCUGUAGGCAGACAUACGGUGGAUGCAUGAGCGAGUCGCUAAGGUACAUACAACAAUACCAUCCAUCCAUAUGCACACAAUCAUUUUUUAGAGAAGCACGUACAACCUCUUUUGCCUUAAUUGGUAGCCAUGUUUCUAAUCCUAUGCUUGCAGAAGUUUGAUAGUUCUCUUCCUCCCUACUUCUAAUAUUUAAAUCCCUGUAUGUCUCUUUUUUUGUCCAUAAAAAGGUAGAACCUGUUGUCCAUAAUGGUUCGCAGUUGGUCAGUAUGGUUCUUUUAACAAGAAUUUUGUGUAUAUAUAAGUUUACAAUGGAACAAAACAAUAUAUGGAGCAUAGAAAUAUUACCUGAAGCUUUUGGUUGUGAUAUUUGAGCUAGAGUUUAGAUUAGUGAUCUUGGACAUUGAUUAUGUGUUUGCAAUUUCGCCUUGGGACCUUAAUAAAUUAGAAGUAUUUUUGUCUCAUGAUUUGCAUUUCGUGUCUAUUUUCUCUACAAAAUCUAGAACUCCAGUUCCGAUCAUGAUAUUUGCAUGUCGUUAUUUGUAACUUCACACAAGUUAAUCUCACAAAGAAUCAUAAGUUUUAGAGAUUUUGGAGAGAAGUUUACGAAGUAAGAUGAGCAGGCAUGUGACUUCAUGUACCUUAUUAAAGCAUCCAUGAUAAUGAUUAGCCCUUUCUGACAAAAAUAUAAAAUUAACUCCCAUGUUUCUGCAGGCCCAUUAAAAGGAAAACUUAUCAAUGUUUUUACUAUUUCUCAGUCUCAUGAGUCCCUAAAUUGAGUUUCUGCUCAACGUGGUCUACAUCUUUUGAGGAUACGGAUCGUAAUCCAUCAGAUGCAGUUCCGACGGUUCGCAAGUAUGACCGGUGAUAAACAAUCUGAGAUAUCAGGGGGAAAAUAUCCAAACUGAGAGACGAAGGGGGUACAAUAGGUAAGGUUGGAUGAAGCACGCUCCCUGAUAGGAGAAUGAAUUCGACUUUUUUUCCAAGUACCAGAAAUUUGUAUAUAAGAAUAAAUAUGACCUAAACAACACAAUGCUGACUUUUAAUUUAUGUCAAUCCUUUUAAUUUAUGAUUAACAUUUGCCC